CAGCACCUCAAGUGGUCAGGAUGAUUAUUGGGCCUAAAGCAUCCGUAGCCGGCGCUGUAAGUUUUCGGUUAAAUCUGUACGCUCAACGUACAGGCUGCCGGGAAUACUGCAGCGCUAGGGAGUGGGAGAGGUAGACGGUACUCGGUAGGAAGGGGUAAAAUCCUUUGAUCUAUUGAUGACCACCUGUGGCGAAGGCGGUCUACCAGAACACGUCCGACGGUGAGGGAUGAAAGCUGCGGGAGCAAACCGGAUUAGAUACCCGAGUAGUCC
RNAcentral lists this ribosomal RNA (270 nucleotides) under uncultured archaeon. RNAcentral describes it as "partial 16S ribosomal RNA". It matches the Rfam family "Archaeal small subunit ribosomal RNA", at positions 477 to 747 of the family's 1478-position model. The record is from RNAcentral.